GACUCAUCUUGGCUGAGACGCAUUCAGUUGGCAUCACUUGCUUGGGGGCUCCAGAACCGGAACGAGCCACAACAGUUAGCUGAAUCUGUGUGGGGUGGCAGCCAAGUGUGACCCUAGAGGCAAAAGAACACACAUUUGAAGGGCGCGCGCGCACGACUUCAGGCAACCGUGCCAUCCAUUCACCUGAUGUGCGACAGUGAUCACAUCAAGUAUAUGUACGCGCACGCAUGCGUCCACAUCACAUCCACACAUCACGCAACACGCACUCUGCCUGGACUUACCCUCUUUUAGCGUUGCCAUCUUUUCGUCGGUGUGCCGUUAACAGUUAAUAACAAAAAACAAACAAAACAAAAACUAGCAUAAAAAACAAUCGCCUUUGAUCAACUUUUUUUUGCGUUGUUUAUUUGACUAUAAACAAGCUUAAGAUUUCGGGAUUGGUUACUGUUCAAACAACCAACAGUUGGCGGAUAUUUCAUAAAACAAAGCCAAGCAAUUACGGAAUUACACCAGAGCUUUAUAUUUCGGUUGGUUUAUUUGUUGUGAAAACGAUGCGUAAUGUUUGGUGUUUGGAUUAACUUGAUAUUGGUGCGCGGAGCCCUCAGAAAGUAAUGGAGCCAAGCGCGCGAUCGUACCCUGACUGCGCCAGGUCGAGCGCACAAAACGUGCAUGAAGCGUCGGCGGCAAUGCCAUGGCAGCGCAACAACAACAACCAGGGCCGCUUUGUAAACUGGCAAACCAGUGAUCGGAUCGGCAACAGGGGCGGAUCCAACGCAAGCGGCGAGGGGGCGAAAAAAAUGAUGUUAUCUUAGCGCUCCUUUACUAAAACUAGCAUAUUUUUAUAUCAUUUCUUUUUUUGUCAAAAACUGACUGCUAUGAAAACAAUCGUUUACAAAUAAAAAUCAGUGGACUAUA
Molecule: long non-coding RNA, 912 nt
Organism: Drosophila obscura
Lineage: Eukaryota; Metazoa; Arthropoda; Insecta; Diptera; Drosophilidae
Exons: 2
Source: RefSeq, a predicted model, not a curated record